AAGUUCGUGUUUUGGUGAUUCGGCUCCGGUCAACCUGUAGAGAAAAGAAUGGUGAUCACGGUGAUAUAAAAAUUGAAUUAAACGGAGGCCGGGAAGGGCCUCAUUGGAGGCAAAAACCGAGAAGGGGCGCGGCGGCGCCGCUGGCUUUCGGCCCUAUUUUCCGGCCGUUUGGCCGGGAUUUUGGCUCCGAUUUGGCCACUGGGGAAAUCAGCGUGGAAAAACGAGUCGGGAGUAUGAAAUUUACCUCGAU
RNAcentral lists this long non-coding RNA (250 nucleotides) under Carica papaya (papaya). RNAcentral's name for it is "long non-coding RNA (CPAP_LNC012229)". The record is from RNAcentral. Lineage: Eukaryota; Viridiplantae; Streptophyta; Magnoliopsida; Brassicales; Caricaceae.